CCUACGGGAGGCUGCAGUGAGGAAUAUUGGUCAAUGGACGAGAGUCUGAACCAGCCAAGUAGCGUGAAGGAUGACUGCCCUAUGGGUUGUAAACUUCUUUUAUAUGGGAGUAAAAUGUUCCACGUGUGGGAUUUUGUAUGUACCAUAUGAAUAAGGAUCGGCUAACUCCGUGCCAGCAGCCGCGGUAAUACGGAGGAUCCGAGCGUUAUCCGGAUUUAUUGGGUGUAAAGGGAGCGUAGGUGGAUUGUUAAGUCAGUUGUGAAAGUUUGCGGCUCAACCGUAAAAUUGCAGUUGAAACUGGCAGUCUUGAGUACAGUAGAGGUGGGCGGAAUUCGUGGUGUAGCGGUGAAAUGCUUAGAUAUCACGAAGAACUCCGAUUGCGAAGGCAGUUCACUGGACUGCAACUGACACUGAGGCUCGAAAGUGUGGGUAUCAAACAGGAUUAGAUACCCGAGUAGUC
RNAcentral lists this ribosomal RNA (460 nucleotides) under uncultured bacterium. RNAcentral describes it as "partial 16S ribosomal RNA". It matches the Rfam family "Bacterial small subunit ribosomal RNA", at positions 338 to 795 of the family's 1533-position model. The record is from RNAcentral.